CAAAAGUUGGGUGUGGUGGAUAGUCUGGAAGGUUGUCAGAGGUUACAGCUGAGAAGUGGCAGAUGGAGUUUAACCCAGAUAACUGUGAAGUGGUUCAUUUUGGUCGGUGGAGAAUCAGCGAGGUCUGGGGGUCCGCUGCUGCACAGGUUUGUUAAGAAGGCUUAUGGUGUGAUGGCCUUCAUCCUGUGAGGCAUUUACAUGAAAAAUAAAGAAAUACAAUAGUCUAUGAAAAACAUAAACAAAGACUAGCAAACUAUGUUUAUAUAAAAAAAGAAGAUUAAGAAUUUCACAUUGUGUAUUGUAUACAUUCUCUGAUGUUAAAUUGAACCAUUGAAAUACUGAAAACAUGUGGGAAAUAUCAAGUCAUUCCCAAAUAAUGAGAGAGAUGACAAAGGCCCAUGGUUGUAACAUCUACAAGCUGCUAUCUCCCUUGUGUCUCUGAAUAAGUUUAUCAUCUUGUACUGAGAUAGAUUUUCUCAUCUGACCAUAUACAGAUUCCUUUUAGAUGUCAUGAAUCAGGCUAAGGCCGAGUUGCUAGCUUGAUACUCAACCCAGCACGGAUGGAAAGCAUGCAAGGGCUCCGAAGUCCAGCGCAGAUGCCACUAUGCCACCAGCCAGCUAAUUGAAGGGUCAAGUAUCGUCUUCUGCUUGGCACUUGGACAUGAUCCCUGGAAGUGUCCCAGAUUGUCACAGUAGAGCAUCAAUCUAAAUUUCAGUCUUCUUUCCUGGAACGUGGAGUAAGGAAGCAGGGAAUGUUGCUAUCACUAUGUUUCAGUCAAGACGCCACUGAAAUGAGAGGGAAUUAAAUACAAUCACAAUGAAACAGUAAUUGGCAGGAACGUGCAUACUCAUGAACGUGAUUGCGGACAGUGUUGAGCUGCCCACCUGCGAGGACACCCAGACUCCAUGGUUGUGACAGGGUUACGGAGAUGGCGUCCAUUGUAGACUUGUUGAAUUGAAUUGACUUUAUUACUUACAUCCUUCAAAUACAUGAGGAGUAAAAAUCUUUAUGUUAUGUCUCUGUCUAAAUGUGCAAUGUACAAUUUACAGUCAUUUAUAAUAUGUACAACAGGAUAGUCAAUAUAACAUAGAAAUAUAGUAGCAUCAGCAUGAACUAAGCAGUCUGAUGGCCUGGUGGAAGAAGCUCUCCCGGAGCCUGUUUUAUGCUGUGGUACCAUUUCCCAGAAGGCAGCAGCUGGAACAGUUUGACGUUGGGGUGACUUGGGUCUCCAAUGAUCCUUUUUACACACCUGUCUUUGUAAAUGUCCUGAAUAGUGGGAAGUUCACAUCUACAGAUGCACUGGGCUGUCCGCACCACUCUAUGCAGAGUCCUGUGAUUGAGGGAAGUCCAGUUCCCAUACCAGGCAGUGAUGCAGCCAGUCAGGAUCCUCUCAAUUGUGCCUCUGUAGAAAGUUCUUAGAAUCUGGGGGCCCAUACCAAACUUCUUCAACUGUCUGAGCUGAAAGAGGCACUGUUGUGCCUUUUUCACCACACAGCCGAUAUGGACAGAUAAUGUGAGAUCCUGGGUAAUGUUUAUGCCAAGGAACUUAAAGCUGUUCAUUCUCACAACCCCAGAUCCACUGAUGUCAAUAGGGAUUAUCCUGUCUCCAUUCUUCCUGUAGUCCACAACCAGCUCCUUUGUUUUUGCAACGUUGAGGGAGAGAUUGUUUUCUUGACACCACUGUGUCAAGGUGAUGACUUCUUCUCUGUAGGCUGCCUCAUUAUUAUUUGAGAUUAGGCCAAUCAGUGUAGUGUCAUCAGCAAAUUUAAUUAGCAGAUUGGAGCUGUGGGUGGUGGCACAGUCAUGGGUAUACAGAGAGUAAAGGAGAGGGGGCUUAGUACACAGCCCUGAGGGGCACCUGUGUUGAAAGUCAGAGGAGCAGAGGUGAGGGAGCCCACUCUUACCACCUGCCAGCGAUCUGACAUAUACAUAGUGGACUAAAGGGCCUGGCUCUGGGCUUUAUAAGUUAAUGACAUUUUAAAGAUGAAAGAUUAUCUUUAUUUAUCACAUUUACAUCAAACAUACAGCGAAAUGCUUCAUUUGUGUCAAUGACCAACACAGUACGAGGAUGGCUGAGGGCACCCCGCAAGUGUCUCCAUGUGGCAGGCACCAAUGUAGCAUCCCCACAACCCACUAAUCAUAAUCCGUACAUCUUUGGAAUGUGAGAGGAUACUGGAGCACUCAGAAGAAACCCAGCUAGUCAGGAGGAGAACGUACAAGCUCCAUGCAGACAGCAGCGGGUAUCGAAACCCUGAUCACCGAUGCUGUAAAGCAUUAUGUUAACUGUACAGAUAGGUACUUGAUGGUUGGCAUAUACUGUAUAUAGCAUACUGAAGGGUCAUCAGGACAUAAAUGGAGUUCAGCUUACAGUAACACUUGCAAAAGGGCUUGUUUCUGAGGUAAAGCAAAACCUUCUGCUAAAUUAAAACUGAGGUUACCAGAAAGAACAAUGGUCAUAAGCCACUAACAAAGCACAGUUCCAAAUAAAGAGAGCAAAAUCCUUCCAGUUCCCACACUGCUUGUAUCACUUGAGGAGGAAUGUGGGGGAAACUGCUUCAUUCAGAGGAUGGUGCGAGUGUAGAAUGAGCUGCCAGCAGGAUUGAAACAUUUAAGAGGUUUGGAUAAGAACGUGGGUAUGGAGUAUAUGGGUAUAAGAAGGGUAUGGAGGGCCAUGGUCUGGACAGAAUAAUAGUUCGACAUGGACUAGAUGGACUGAAGGCCUUGUUCGAGUGCUGUAGCACUCUAUGACUUGGAAAUUAUUCACUAACCUAAAGACUUGAUGUUCUUGAAAAUGCAACAUCAUUGAAGUGUUCAUUCAGAACACUCGUUUGGUUCUCACUCUAGUCUAUACAUAUUGUUCAAGACAUAAAAUAUGAAAAUUCUUACUGUUGAAACUAUGUAUUAAUGCCUUCUUUAUAUUUAAUCAUGUGUUGUGGCUUCAGCUAGUUGAAUGUUGCUUUACAAUCUGACAGGUUGUUGCAUUUUCUGUUACAUAACAAAUAACUAUUACACUUCUAGAAAAGGCUGAAAUUGUGUCCCAGUUUGUUACCUCUGAAAUCUGAAGAAGCCAAGCCUAUGAUUAAACAAGAACAUUUCAAUUGUACUUCUUUACACCUUCUUUAAAGCCAUAAAGCAGCAUCUUACCUGCCCCUCUGCAAUUAGACGUUGCUACACAAGCUGUACUGACCACUUAUAUUUACUGUUUGCCUGAAGUUCAAGUCUCCAUGGCAAUAGAAGAGAAUUCCCAUCAAGGAAUAAAAACAAUAGCAUAAUAUUGGGUGAGACAGACUGCUGAGUAUAUUGGCUAAAUUUCCCACCAAUACUGCUGGCUGCAAGCCACUCCACUUUGUCUCUGCACUAUUCAGUUGGACCAUUAGGAGCAAUUAGCAACCAUGAUAGGAUUGUGGUCCUCAUUACUAUUGUUAUUGUCUUAACAUUAGCAUGCUACAGGAUAACUGCAUGGUCGUGAUCACAAACUUCAGAGGGGAAGUACAUAGGUUUAAUGGCACUGUUACUAUGAAUUAAGUACUAUUUCUGCUCUUAUUAAGUCUUAUAACAAGUAGUUGUAAGACUCUUACUUGCUGAUUAACAGGGCGACAUUUGAGAAAUGGCUUGAAAAUAGGGAUUAAUGUCUUACUUUUCCUUCCCCAACUGAUCUGACAUAUGAUCAAAACAUUCUUACUAUGCUUAGCUCUGGAUUGCUUCCAACAGACAACACUAUUUGCAAAGUAAUUUGGAGCCAAACUUUAUUCAACUUAACAAAUUUUGGAAACAGAACUUUAAUUCAGUUGGACCAUUAGGAGCAAUUAGCAACCAUGAAAGUAAAGUUCAAAGUACGUAAAUGUCACCAUAUACUACCCUGAGAUUUGUUUUCUUGUGGGCAUACUCAGUAGUUCCAAGAACCGUAAUAGAAUCAGUGAAAGACUGCACCCAACAGGGUGGACAAAAACAAUAAACUGUGCAAAUACAAAAGCAGAAUCACAAUCAGUUUUAUAUCACUGGCAUAUGUCGUGAGAUUUUUGUAUUAUGCUGCAGCAGCACAUUGCAAUACAUAGUAAUAAAACUGUAAAUUAUAGGAAGAAGUGUACAUAUACCUAAAAAGUUAAAUAAGUAGCAAAAAAAGGAAAAAAUGAAGCAUUGAGGUAGUGUUCAUGGGUUCAAUGUACAUUCAGAAAUCAGAUGGCAGAUGGGAAGAAGUUAUUCCUUCCUGAUGGUAGCAAUGAGAAGAGGGCAUUUUGAGGGUGGUAGAUGUCCUUAAUGAUGGAUGCCACUUUUCUGAGGCAUUGCUCCUUGAGCGUGUCACGGAUGAUGGAGCUGGCUGAGUUUGUAACUUUCUGCAGCUUAUUUCGAUCUUGUGCUGUGGUACCCCCUCCAAUACCAGAUGAUGAUGCAUCCAGUUAGAAUGCCCUUCAUGGUACAUCUGUAAAAGUUUGCAAGUGUAUAUAGUCAUGUACCAAAUCCCCCCCAAACUCCUAAUGAAGUAUAGCUGCUGUCACAUCUUCUUUGUAACUGCAUUGCUAUCUCAGGAUAGAUCCUCAGAGAUGUUGAAACCCGGGAACCUGAAAUUGCUCAGCCUUUCCACUUCUGAUACAUUGAUGACAAGUGGUAUGUGUUCCCUUGUCUUACCCUUUUUAAAGUCCAUAAUCAAUUCUAUGGUGUUACUGACAUUGAGUGCACUGUUUGAGUUGAGACACCACUCAAACAGCUGACCUAUCAAAAAUAAAUCAUAAUAAUAAUAAUAAUAAUAAACAAAUAAGCAAUAAAUAUCAAAGACAUGAGAUGAAGAGUCCUUGAAAGUGAAUCCAUAGGUUGUGAGAACGGUUCAGUGAUGGGGCAAAUGAAUUUGAGUGAAGUUAUCCCCACUGGUUCAAGAGCCUGAUGGUUGAGGGGUAAUAACUGUUCUUGAACCUGGUUGUAAGAGUCCUGAGGCUCCUGUACCUUCUUCCUGAUGGAAGAAGCGAGAUAAGAGCAUGACUUGGAUAGUGGGGGUUCUGGAUGAUGGAUACUGCUUUCCUGUGACAGCACUCCUUUUUGGUGUGCUUUCCCCAUGAUGAACUGGGCAGUAUCCACUACUUAGCCACUACAGUUAACCAAGAGAAAAUCUUCUUCCUCUCCUGAUAUCAAGAAGUGCAGUUGAGAAGUUCAUUUAAUAUUUUUCUGAGGAACUCCUCAACUAAGCAAUGUUGAUGUCUUAAAUAUUUUGAGACAGUCUUAUAGACUGCAAGAAACUGCAGAAAGUUGCUGACACUGCUGAACACAUCACAGAAACCAGUCUCUUCACCAUAAACACUGUGUCUACCUCUCACUGCCUCAGUAAAGUAGUCAGCAGUAUUAAAAGCCCUACCCAAUCCGGACACUCUCUCCUUUCUCCCCUCCCAUCAAGUGGAAGAAAUGAAAGCACAUGCCACCAGGCUCAAGGACAGCUUCUAUCCUGUUGUUAUAACACCACUGAAUGGUCCUCUGGUAUGAUAAGAUGGGAUCUUAACCUUACAAUCUAUAUCGUUAUGACCUUGCGCCUUACUGUUUGUCUGCAUUCUACUUUCUCUGUACUUCACUCUGCACUCUGUUAUUGUUUUACUUUGUACUACCUCAGCGCAUAGUUGCAUGAAUAGCAAGCAGGACAGGUUUUUCUGUACACCUCAAUAUAUACACUUGGCCACUAUAUUAGAGUUACCUGUACACCUCAUUAAUGUAACUAUCUAAUCAUGUGGCAGCAACUCAAUGCAUUAAAGCAUCCAGACAUGGUCAAGAGGUUUACUUGUUGUUUGGACCAAAUAUUAGAAUGGGAAUGAAAUGUUAUCUCAGUGACUUUGACCCUGGACUGUUUACUGGUGCUGUGGUUUGAGUAUCUCAGGAACAGCUGGUGGAAGCUGCAGAAAAAUGUAAACUCAGCCAGCUCCAUCAUGGGUACUAGCCUCCCAGCAUGGAGGACAGCUUCAAAAGGUGAUGCCUCCAAAAAGGUGCCAUUGCCAUCAUUAAGGGCCCCCAUCACCCAGGACAUUCCCUCUUCUCAUUGCUACCAUCAAGGAGAAGGCGCAGGAGCAUGAAGACACAUACUCAACAUUUCAGGAAUAGCUUCCACCGUCUGAUUUCUGAAUGGACAAUAAACCCAACUUCACUAAUAUUUUUUUCCCUUUUUUUUGCUCCCUUUUGCACUACUGAUUUAAUUUGAAAUUUUGUGCAUACAGUGGAUUCCUUUUAUUUGGGACACAUUGGGACCAGUACAUUUUGGCUCAAUUAAGCGGCUGCUCCAAUUAGCCGAAGUUUCAUGGAAAUAUUUAAAAAGGUAUAAAAAAGACAAACUUCCAUUUAAGGUGCAUAACAAAUUAUGUAUUUAAAUGAAAUACAGAACAAAUUAAACACCAGCAAUACAACUACAGUACUAUAAAACUGCGUAUUGGUUCCCAAUAAUUAUCGACGGAGGAAUUCAUCCAGUGUAUGUGGCUGUGUGCUUUCUAUUGCCUGUAAAUAAAUAAAAUCAGUGCAGGCACUAGUGCUGAUAACAAACUGCCUUCGUACAAUGCUUUCAAUAACUGCAUCCUCCAAAUCUACAAUUUCAUUGUAACAUUCAAGAUGAUUGUCGAUAUCGACAAUCAUUGUAGUUCCUAACUUGUUGAAGUAGUAAAAUUAUUUGAUUUUCACUCACAGCUGUUUCAAGCAUCUCCAAGCCCAAAAGCUUGAAACUGCAAUAAGCAAAACAGUUCUAAGUUGCCUUACUGCUUACUUCUCGCCAGCUAUCAGUGAUAAAAAUUACUGCUUUUUGAAUACAAACACACACAACUGAUGCUAUGUAAAAACUGUUCACUCUAAGCACAGUGUAUGUGGCUGACACUAGUUAGAAACUGGCAACAGUCUCUUUUUCCAAUUAAGCGCCAUGAUGUCCCAAAUCAAUGAACAGAAUCCCAGAUAUUUUCUUAAUUAGUUUUUGUUCUUUGUGCUGUCCUAAGUACGCAGCUGCCCCAAUUAACCAAUGGCUCAAUUAACUGGAAUCCACAGUAUUUCUUAUUGUAAUUUUUAGUUUUUUUAUUGUUAUGUAUUGCAACGUUCUGCUGCAGCAAACCAACCAUUUUCACAGCUUACUGUAUGACAGUGAUAUUAAACUUGAUUUUGAUUGUGAUUUACAACAGUCUUUAGAGUUUACAGAGAAUGGAAAAAUAAAAAAAUCCUGUGAGUGAAAACGUCUUGUUAAUGAGAUAGGUUAGGUUAAUGAGAAGGCAUAUGGUGCGUUGGCCUUCAUCAGACAUCGGAUUGAGUUCAAGAGCUGAGAGAUAAUGAAUUGAAUUGAAUUGACUUUAUUUCUUACCUCCUUCACAUACAUGAGGAGUAAAAAUCUUUAUGUAGCAGCUGGAAUAGAUUGUGUUUGGGAUGGCUUGGGUCCUCAGUGAUCCUACAGGCCCUUUUUACACACCUGCCCUUGUAAAUGUCCCGAAUCAUGAGAAGUUCACGACUACAGAUGCGCUGGGCUGUCCGCACCACUCUCUGCAGAAUCCUGCGAUUAAGGGAGGUACAAUUUCCAUACCAGGCAGUAAUGCAGCCAGUCAGGAUGCUCUCAAUUGUGCCCCUGUAGAAAGUUCUUAGGAUUCGGGGGCCCAUACUAAACUUCCUCAACCGUCUGAGGUGAAAGAGGUGCUGUUGUGCCUUUUUCACCCCACAGCCAGUAUGUACAGACCACGUGAGAUUCUCAGUGAUGUGUAUGCCAAGGAACUUAAAGCUGUUUACCCUCUCAACCCCAGAUCCAUUGAUGUCAAUAGGGGUUAGACCGUCUCUAUUCCUCCUGUAGUCCACAACCAGCUCAUUUGUUUUUGUGACAUUGAGAGGAUACAGCUGUAUAAGACCUUAGUUAGACCCCACAGAGAACUGUGUUCACUUCUGGUCACCUCACUAAUAGGAAGGAUAUGGAUACUAUAGAGAGAGUGCAGAGGAGAUUUACAAGGAUGUCACUUGGAUUGGAGAGUGUGCCUUUUGAGAAUAGGUCUAAGUGAACUUGGCCUUUUCUCCUUUGAGUGACAGAGAAUAAGAGGUGACCUGAGAGAGGUGUAUAAAAUGACGAGAGGCAUUGAUCGUGUAGAUAGCCAGAGGUUUUUUCUCAUGGCUGAAAUGGUUAACAUGAGGAGGCAUAGUUUUAAGGUGCUUGAAAGUAGGUGCAGAGGUGAUGUCAGAGGUAAAUUUUUCACACAGAGAGUGGUGGGUGUUUGGAAUGCAGAGGCAGAUACAAUAGGGUCUUUUAAGAGACUCUUAGGUACAAGGAACUUAGAAAAAUAGAGGGCUAUGCAGAAUGGAAAUUGUAGGCAGUUUCUAAAGUAGGUUAUUAUUGGUCAGCACAACAUUGUAGGCCAAAGAGCCUGUUCAAUGUUCUAUGUUAGAUAAAAAUGGCCAGACAGGUUCAAACUGAUAGGAAAGCGACAGUAACGCAAAUAACAACGUGCUACAACAGUGGUGUGCUGAAGAGCAUCUCUGAAUGUACAUCUUGUCGAAAGUUGAAGUGAAUGGGUUACAGCAGCAGAAAACCUCUCUGAAUUCUACUCCAGUACCUAGUAAAGUGGCCACUGAGUAUAUGUGAUCAAUUUAUCAAUUUAAGUGAAUUGCUUUGACUAUUACCUAAGUGUUUAUCACUGCCUCAGAGUGCUGAAGACCCAGGUUUAAUCCUGACCUUGGGUGCUGUCCACUGUGAGAAUGCACAUUCCUUUCCAAGUGCUCUGAUUUCCUUCCACGUACCAAAGCCACUACAUAUUGCCUCCAGCACGUGGGUGAAUGGCAGUAUCUGAAGGGAGCUGAUUAGAAUGCAUCACAGAGUCAUACAACAUGGAAGUAGCUCUUCAACCCAAUUAGUCCAUGCUGACUAUUAUCCCCAUCUAAGCUAGUCCCUUUUGCUCAUGUUUGGCCCAUGUGCUUCUAAGCCAAGGAUUUCCAACUUUUUGUUAUGCAAUGGACCAAAAUCAUUAAGCAAGGAGUCUGUGGACCUCAUGUUGGGAACCCCUGCUCUAAACCUUCCCAUCCACUGUAUGUACUUGUCUAAGUACCUUUUAAGUGUUAUUAGCUUACCCGCCUCAACAAUUUCUUCUGGCGCUAGAUCCAUAUACUAACCUGGGUGAACGCUUAGCUUCCUAUUAAAUGUCUCCCUUUUCCUUGAAUCAGAAUCAGGUUUAUUAUCACUAGCAUGUGUCAUGAAAUUUGUUAACUUAGCAGCAGCAGUUCAAUGCAAUACAUAAUAUAGAAGAAGAAAAAGAUAAAAGAAUAAUAAGUAAAUCAAUUACAGUAUGUACAUAUUGAAUAGAUUAAAAAUAGUGCAAAAAAACAGAAAUUAUAUAUAUUAAAAAAGUGAGGUAGUGUUCACGAGUUCAACGUCCAUUUGGGAAUCGGAUGGCAGGCGGGAAGAAGCUGUUCCCGAAUCACUGAGUGUGUGCCUUCAGGCUUCUGCACCUCCUACCUGAUGGUAACAGUGAGAAAAGGGCAUGUCCUGAGUGCUGGAGGUCCUUAAUAAUGGACGCUGCCUUUCUGAGACACCAUUCCUUGAAGAUGUCCUGGGUACUUUGCAGGCUAGUAUCCAACAUGGAGCUGACUAAAUUUACAAACCUCUGCAGCUUCUUUUCGUACUGUGCAGUAGCUCCCCCACCCCCCAUACCAGACAGUGGUGCAGCCUGUUAGAUUGUUCUCCAUGGUACAUCUAUGGAAGUUUUUGAGUGUAUUUGUUGAUAUACCAAAUCUCUUCAAACUCCUAAUGAAGUAUAGUCACUACCUUGUCUUCUUUAUAACUGCAUCAAUAUUUUGGGACCAGGUUAGGUCCUCAGAGAUCUUGACACCCAGGAACUUGAAAUUGCUCACUCUGUCCACUUCUAAUCCCUCUGUGAGGAUUGGUAUGUGUUCCUUCAUCUUACCCUUCAGGAAGUCCUCAAUCAGCUCUUUCAUCUUACUGACAUUGAGUGCCAGGUUGUUGCUGCAACAUCACUCCACCAGUUGACAUAUCUCGCUCCUGUAUGCUCUCUUGUCUCCAUCUGAGAUUCUACCAACCAUGGUUGUAUUGUCAGAUGGUAUUUGAGCUACGCCUAGCCACACAGUUAUGUACAUAUAGAGAGUAGAGCAGUGAGCUAAGCGCACACCCCUGAGGUGCACAAGUGUUGAUUGUCAAUGAGGAGGAGAUAUUAUCACCAAUCAGCACAGAUGGGUGUAAUUGGGUGGCAUGAGCUCAUUGGGUCAGAAAAGCCUGUUACUGCGCUGUAUCUCUUAAACAAUAUCUUAGUAGAUAUCCUAACCAUGUACUGAGGGAGUGCUUUUCUGUUGCUGUAAAUUGAAGAGAGAGUUAAACAAAGGCCUGCUGGUCUACUACUCAAAUGACAUCUCCUGUUACUACUCAAACAAGAGCAGGUGAGCUAGUAUCUGGGUCAAUAUGUAUGCCUCACCCAAUGUCACAGACAGGUCAUUUGGUCCUUUUCACAGUACUCUUGUUACACAAAUUGAUUGCUGUCUUUCCUGCUUUACAACUGUGAUAGUACUUUAAAAUUAUUUAAAUCACUUUGGGGCUUUCCAAGACCAUUAAAUAGAUUUUAUGAAUGUAAUGCCUUUCUGUAUCUUUGAAAACUGUGUAUUAAUAAUAUAACAGCAAUAUUUAUCCAGUGUUUGCAAUCAGUAAGGAGUUUGUACAUACUCCCUGUGAUUGCAUGGGUUUCCUCCCACAUCCCAAAGAUAUUCAGGUUAUGAUUAGUGAGCUGUGGGGAUGCUAUGUUAGGGGCAGAAGCGUGACAAUAUUUGUGUGCUGUCUCUAGCACAGGUUGUGUUGGUAAUUGAUGAAAAAUAACACAUUUCACUGUAUGUUUUCAUGUUUCAAUGUACAUGUGACAAAUAAAGCCAAUCUUUUAAAAAGAAAGUCUCAUCCAAUUGUGUCUUCCAGAUUUAGCUCACAUCAAAGUUGUGCCAAUUAACUUACUAACCAGUAAGCCUUUGGACAGUGGGAGGAAAUGGAGCAUGCAGAGAAAACUACUCUCUCCACAGCAUCAAGAACAUCUUCAAAAGGCAAUGCCUCAAAAAGGCAACAUGCAUCACUGAGGACCCUCAUCACCCAGGAUGUGCCCUUUUCUCAUUGCUACCAUCAAGGAGGAGGUAAAGGACCUGAAGACACACACUCAAUGUUUUACGAUUCACUAUUUUUUCCUAUUUUUGGUUUGCUCCUUUUUGCACUAUUUAAUUUAAUUUUUAAUUUAUACAUUUUUUAUUGAAAUUUAUAGUUUUAUGUAUUGCGAUGUACUGCUUCUACAAAACAACAGAUUUCACAACUUAUUAUUUGUUAUGUGCCAUGUCUUCAUAACAUAUGCCAGUGAUAUAAAACCUGAUUCUGAUUCUGAACUGUUGCUAGUUAAUGUCAGGCAAUCAGUCCUGUUGUUUCAAAGUCAAAAUAAAUUUAUUAUCAAAUUAUGCACAGUAUAUGUUACCAUAUUCUACUUUAAGAUUUGUUUUCUUGCAGACAUUUACAGUAAAAUAAAGAAAUACCAUAGUAUUUAUAUUAAAAAAAACAGUACAUCAACUGACAACCAAUGUGCAAAAGAAAACAAAUUGAGCAAAUAAAAAAUAAUUAAUACUGAAAAUACGAGUUUUAGAGUUCUUGAAAGUGAGUUCAUAGGUUGUGGAAUCAGUUCAGUUGUGGUGAGUGAAGUUAUCCACACCGGUUCAGGAGCCUGAUGGUUGUAAUGUAGUAACUGUUCCUGAAUGUGGUGGUGUGGGAUGCAAGGCUCCAGUCCAAUGAUAAAAGCAAGAAAAAAGCAUGGUCUGGAUGGCAAGGGACCUUGAUGAUGGAUGCUGCUUUUUGUGGCAGCAUUCAUAAAUGUGCUCAGUGGUGAGAAGGGCUUUGCCUGUGAUAGACUUGACUAUGUCCUCUGUAGUUUUGUACAUUCCUGGACAUGGUGUUAGCAUACCAGGGUGUAAUGCAACCAUUGACAAAUAGUUUGCUAUAAGUUGUGAUAAAUUGUAUAAUGGCCGUGGUUAUUGCAAAAUGCAUAUGAUUGAAUAGCUACUUAUCAUCAAGGCGCCUACAUCUAUAACAGCUAUUUACACAAAGUAUCGGUUUGACAGUAAUAAUUAAAUUACAUGACUAAAUAAAAUGACAAGGAAAUGAGAGUGAUAAUCAGCAUAAUUGAUGAUGAAGCACUCAUGCUCAUCAUCUACAUCACGAAAGCUACACGCAUGCAAGCACUUCCUUCCAUCUCACAUAAUAAACUUACCGCAAUAUCUGACGCAAAUGCCUUGUGAUAAAGUAUCUAACAAAGCUUUCAUUUGGAAACCUUGGACCCACCAUUAAAGGAAAAGCUAUGGAAACAGAUUAUUGUUUAUCUGCAGAAUAAUAAUGUUUUAAGUUCCUAACUCACGGAAGCAGCACAACAGGAACUUCCUCAGUAUUAUCCAGAAAUGACUGUGUGCGAUGUGCAGAGGCAAAGAUUAAAAUUGUAAAUACAGACAUUCCAGCUGCAGGAAUUUCCCAACCUUUACACCAACUGAAAUCUCUGGACUGUCAGCAAGGGCUUGACAGCCCUUCAAAGUGAGGUGGAGUAAGAAGAAAAUUAGUCCGGUAGAUGAAACUUGCAUAUCAUGUGUAUUGAUCAAUGGACAGUGAUUCCUUAAUGCUGUUUCAGGAUGGCUUUAUUAAUGCCUCAUGUUGGAGGAACAGGGGCAUCUUGGGGUCCACAUCCAUCGAUACCUCAAAGUUGCCUCACAAGUUGAUAGGGUGGUUAAGAAGGCGUAUGGUGUGUUAGCCUUCAUUCGUCAGGGAAUUGAGUUCAAGAGCUGCAAGGGAAGGUUGCAGCUCUAUAAAAAAUCUGGUUAGGCCACACUUGUAGUAUUUUGUUCAGUUCUGGUCACCUUAUAAUAGGAGGGAUGUGGAAAGUAUAGAGGGUUUGUCAGCAUUAGAUUUCUUUACACAGAGGAUGGUGGGUGUAUGGAAUGAUGGUAGAGGCUGAUACGUUAGGGAUAUUUAAAAUACUCUUAGAUAGGCACAUGGGUGAAAGUGACAUGGAGGGCUAUGUAGGAAGGAAGGGUUAGAUUGAUCUUAUGGUAGUUAAAGGGUCAACGGGGCCUGUACCAUGCUGCAGUGUUCUAUGUUCUAACUGAGUUGGGAGAUAGAAUUCCAGGAGAAGGCCACUGGAUAAGAAAAAAAAAUAAAGAUACCAGGCAGCUCUAUAAGCAGUUUCAUUAAUAGUCUACUUUUGGUUUGCUCUUUAAAGCCAUGUACAGCACGAUGCAAAGUUUGCAUACAAAAUUAGUUGGGUGGAAAGAGUCGGAGGAUGGUAGUAAAGGAAUGUUGUUCAGAUUGGAAGUCUGUGACCACUGGUGUACUGUGGGGAUUGAUGUUGGGUCCACUGUUGUUUGUCAAAUACAUUAAUAACUUGGAAUGUAAGAUAGAUAGAUAGAUAGAUACUUUAUUCAUCCCCAAGGGGAAAUUCAACAUUUUUCCAGUGUCCCAUACACUUAUUGUAGCAAAACUAAUUACAUACAGUAUUUAACUCAGUAUAAAUAUGAUAUGCAUCCAAAAUCACCCUCCCAAAAAGCAUUAAUAAAUAGCUUUUAAAAAGUUCUUAAAUAGUUUACUGAAGUGCAUUGAGUAGUAACUUAAGCUCAGUCCUAACCCCGGCACUUUAACAUGUCUUGCUCCUGGUGACUGAUUAGCAAAUUUGUGGAUGAUACAAAAGUUGAUGGGGUGAAGGAGGUUGUCUAAGGUUACAGUAGGGUUUAAGUCAAUUUGAAAAGAGAAGAAAGAUUGGCAACAGGAUUUUAACUCAGGCAAGUGUGAAGUGAUGCCUUUUGGAAAUGUAAACCAAGUCAGAACUUACACAGUAAAGAAAAGGACUGUGGACUAGGUUGUAGAACAGAGACACCUUGGAGUAAAAAAGUGUUUAAUUUAUGUUUAUAAAUUUCUUCUGAAUGUUUUUAUAUGAUGUUAUGUGCCUGUAAUGCUGCUGCAUAUAAAAUUUUUCAUUGCGCCUGUGCAAACACAUAGAGCGAGAUUAGCUUCAUUUGUCACAGCUUUGAGUUAUGAGGAGAGACAGGAUAGGAUGGAAAGGAUGGGUUUCUGGCAAGAUGGCAGCGUGCUCAGACACAGCAGCCUCUCUGAGUCCAAUUCAAAGCUUCGAUUGUUCAUCCUUUACAUCUUUUUCACAAUCGCAAGACACUGCUGGACAUCAAGAACAACAGGUUCCACAGGUCCACACCACUAGCGUGUUGCUAAACAAUAAUGGAGCUGUACCUGCUGUCCAGUGUGUUGCAACCUGCUUCAGCCGCCCAGGGAAGGAGGCGUCAGAGGCAGUGCACGGAGCACAGCCUAACAUUGUGAGUGACUGUCUUGGACAUUCCUGUUGUGAGGACCAGACCUUGUUGGACAUUAGUAAUGUAGAAUACUGCAGGUCCAAGUCACUGUUGAUUGGUGAGACUGACGGCAAGGGAGCUGCGUGGCCUCAUUUGUGGCAUGGACCAGGGCCUCAGGGUUGCCUGUUGUGGCUGCAAUGAAAGAACACCCCUGAGGUGGCUGUGUGCCACUGGAUUCCACGAUUUAUUUGAGGUUGGCCCCUCCCAUCGGUUCCGCCCUCCAGCGUUCACUCAGUGGAAGACAAGCUGGAUUGCAUUGGACAGCGGCUGCACUGCAUGGUAUGAGGAACUGCUACAGCCUGUUCUUGCAAAAAUGUGGCUCCAGGACAUAAUCCGUACAUCAGCAAUCUAUAGGUCAUGACGCUCAGGGACUAGGGCUAUAUUCUCAUUUUUAAAAUAUUAUAUAUAUUAUUUGUAACUGUAUGUUUCUUUUGCUAUCAUAAUGAUAUAAGGUUUCUUAAGGCUCUUGUAGCCGGGGUGGUAGUGGGGAUAAGCUCCCGGUACCUAUUAAAUGCUCCCAAUGGCGUGCAUCUCAAAUAGCCUCUGACAUUCAAGUUCAGCUCAGCUCCUGGUCUUUACGUGUAGCUUAGCUACUUAGCCUCAAGCAACCAUUUCUACUGACAGGAGAAGGGGCAAGAGUGAUGAUACUGAUGCUUUAAAACCAGUCACUUCGGGCAGAUGGGGCUCAUCAGCCAUGGUUGGCAGCUCAUCUGGGAGAAGGAAAACUCUGAUCUCAAGCCUCCACUGCCUUGUGGCUGCACCCACUCAUGGGGAAGACUCUGGGAAUAACCCUGAGGGAAAAUCCAGAGAUGGGUUCCCUAAGGCAGUCCUACAUUGAGUUCAACACUGACUGGCCAUUCCUGCAACACCGCUGGUGCCAAACUGUUUCGGUCUCUGCCGUUCCUUUGGAUUCAUCAGCUGUGUGGAGAAAGCUAGACUGCCACAUGGGCAAUAACUUGCUCUCCAUAUCAUACUGCCCUGGCUUGCGUAUUGGCUUGUGUAUCACGUAGAGAGCUGGGAUGCAACAUUCAUGGUCAACCCCAACCAACGCAUGGUCACAAUAAUCAUAUGUACUUUAUGUACUGUGUGCUGUGUGUGACUGUUGGUGCUGUGUUUAGCACCUUGGCCUCAGAGGAACGCUAUUUUGUUUGGCUGUAUUCGUGUAUAUGGUUGAAUGAGAAUUAAACUAGACCUUGUAUUCCCUGGACUAAAGGGGUCUGGCAGGUGACCUUGUAGAGAUAAAUAAAAUCAUGAAGAGCAUUGAUAAGAUAGUCUAUUUCCCAGGUUGGAGGAGUUUAUAAAUAGAGAGCAUAGGUUUAAGAUGACAGGGGAAGGAUUUGAAAGGACCUCAGAAGUACUUUUUUCACACAGUGGGUGUUGAGAAUAUUAACUUUGCUGUCUGAGGAAGUGGUAGAGGUGGACACAAAUACAGUGCUUAAAAGGCAUUUGGAAAGGUACAUCGCUAGGAAUGGUUGAGAGUGACACAAGUUCAAUAAAUAAACUGACAAACAAAUACACGACUGGAUGAAUGAAUAAAUAAAUAAAUGGGAUUAAAUCAGGAAGGCAUCUUGGUCGGCAGAAGUAAGUUGGGCUGAAUAGUCUGUUUCAGCCCACUGAGUCAGCAGCAACCAUCAGCCACCCGUUUACACCAAUUGUCCAACAAUCCCAUCAAAGACUCAGCAAAUCUUUAGAAUCCUGUUGUAGUCACUAUUCUGUAGAUUUGCAGAGUAUGCCCACAAGAAAGUGAAUCUCAGAUUGUAUAUGGUGACAUAUAUAUACUUUGAUAAUAAAAUUUAUUUUGAACUUUAUUCUCCACAGAUCUUUAAAAUUCCUCCCAGAUACUAUCACUUUCCUACAUACUAUAUGAAGGGCAAUUUAUAGAGAUCAAAUAACCCAAAGAAUCCAGAACACUUAAGAGGAAAGCCACAUGGUCACAGGGAGAACGUGCAGACUCCAUGCAGACAGAACCCCAAGUCAGGAUUGAAUCCACAUCUCUGGCUCUGUAGAGCAGUAGCAUUUCUCAUGAACCAUUUCCUUUAUCUGAGAAAGUCAAGGGAGGGACAAAGACCUGGCACCAGAAGUGCUGGUUAAUGAAAUUAUAAAAUUUAAACACCUUUCCUAAAUCAAAAUAACAAAUGUGGAACCUCUCUGCAUUGGGAUAAUAAGUAGCUGUUUGCCUAGUGACAGCAAACAAUGAGAGAUUCUUAACCGAGAGUCUGCGUUAAAACAAAUAUAUUUGUUCAUAACAAAUGCUACAUUUUAAACAAGUGAUCUGGUUCAAGAAUGGAGAAACUGGAAGAAAAUGUUCACAGGACACACUGAGCAGACAGUGGUCAGUAGCAGAGAGUUUAUGGUCUAUCUCAGAAACAGAUUUAAUAUCACCAGCAUAAGUCAUGAAAUUUGUUAACUUGCAGCAGUAGCAUAAUACAUGAUAAACUUGAAAGAAAUGUAUUACAGUAAAUAUAUAUAUGUAUAUUAAACAGUUAAGUUAAAACAAACAGUGCAAAAACAGAAAUUAAAAGAAAGUCUGAGGUAGUGUUCGUGGGUUCAAUGUCCAUUUAGAAAUCUGAUGGCAGAGGUGAAGAAGCUUUCUUGAAUCACUGAGUGUGUGCCUUCAGACUUCCGUACCUCCUUCCUGAUGGUAACAAUGAGAAGGGGGCAUGUCUAGGGUUACAUGCAGAAGAAAUUUCACUCUACUGUAAACACUUCAAAUGAGACUCUGGAGAAUACGUCACAUAAACAAGCACACUCAACGGGUAUCAGCAAGAAUCCUGUGACACAAGAGAUUCUCCAGAUGCUGGAAAUCUUCAGUAACACACACAAAAUGCUGGAAAAAAACUCAACAAAUCAGGGAGCAAAACACACAAAGUGAUGGAGGAACUCAGCAGGUCAGGCAGCAUCUCUGGAGAGGAAUAGACAGUCGAUGUUUCAGGCUGGGGCCCUUUAUCAGGAAUGGAAACAAAGGGGAAAGAUGCCAGAAUAAGAAGGUGAGAGGAGAGGGAGUACAAGCUAGAAGCCGAGAAGAUUAUAGGACAGAGGAACAGAAUCAGGCCAUUCAGCCCAUUGACUCUGCUCCGCUUUUCCAUCAUGGUUGAUCCUGGAUCCUACUCAACCCCGUACACCUGCCUUCUUACCAUAUCCUUUGAUGCCCUGACCAAUCAGGAAAAGAUCAACUUCCACCUUAAAUAUAUGCACAGUCUCCACUGCUCUGUGACAGAGCAUUCCACAGAUUGAGUAUGCUCUGGCUAAAAAAAUUCCUCCUUAUCCCUGUUCUAAAGGGUUGUCCCUCAAUUCUGAGGCUGUACCCUUUAGUUCUGGAUAUCCCCGCCAUAGGAAACAUCCUCUCUACAUCCACUCUGUCUAGUCCAUUCAACAUUCAGUAGGUUUCAAUGAGAUCCCCCUGAAUUCUUCUAAAUUCCAGUGAGUGCAGGCCCAAAGCUGCCAAACGCUCACUGAUGGAAUCCCGGGCGCUGCCGUUCAGCUGAACGGGCUCGCCUUGUUUCGAGUGGACAGGGACGCAGCUCUCUCCGGUAAGACUCGCGGUGGUGGCUUGUGUGUUUACAUCAAUACAGAAUGGUGUAAGAACUCUGCGCUGGUUUCCAGACACUGCUCAUCGCUAGUGGAGUUUCUGACUGUUAGAUGCAGACCAUUUUGUUUAUCAUGGGAAUUCACCACUGUCUACAUUCCCCCAGCGCUAAUGCUAAGGAGGCGCUGUGUGAACUGUACGGGGCUAUUAGCGAACUGCAGAACACACACCCUGAUGGACUGUUUAUUGUCACCGGAGAUUUUAACCACGCGAACCUCACGUCAGUGCUCCCCAAAUUCCAUCAGUAUGUGGACUUUGCAACAAGAGGGGAGAACGUGUUGGACCUGAUUUACACAAACAUCCCCAACGCGUACCAUGCAGAGCCCCACCCCCAACUCCGUUACUCAGACCACAUAUCUGUUAUGCUAAUCCCAGCAUACAGACCGCUCGCUCUAGACCAGUUCAGAAGCAGGUGUAAACCUGGCCAGCAGAAGCCAUCUCUGCUCUUCAAGACUGCUUUGAGCACACUGACUGGCACAUGUUCAAGGAGGCUGCAACCGAUGGCAACUCUACCAACUUAGAGGAGUACAUGGCAUCAGUGACUAGCUACAUCAGCAAGAGCAUCGACGACAUCACUGUGUCCAAGACCAUCACUAUACACGCUAACCAGAAGACAUGGGUGACUGCGGAAGUGUGUGCGCUACUGAGGACCCGUGACUCCGCCUUCAGAGCAGAUGACAAGACAGCCCUAACAACAGCGAGGGCCAAACUGUCCAGGGCCAUCAGAGAGGCAAAGCAUGCACACGCCCAGCGAAUCCACAGCCACUUCCAGGACAGCAGCGACACGUGGUGCAUGUGGAAGGGCAUCCAGGACAUCACCAAUUACAGGACAACAUCACCAGACUGUGCAGGUGAUGCCUCUCUCCCAGGUGCGCUGAGUAACUUAUACGCUUGUUUCGAGGCAGAAAAUGACGUGGCAGCAAGGAAAUCCACCCUCCUCCAAAUGACCAGGUGCUGUGUCUCACUGUGGCCAAUGUGAGAAGAACCCUGUGCAGGGUCAACCUACGGAAGGAUGCUGGACCAGACAAUAUUCCUGAGAGAGUGCUUAGAGAAUGUGCAGACCAGUUAGCAGAUGUUCUCACCGACAUCUUCAGCAUCUCCCUGAGCAGCGCCAUCGUUCCAACAUGCUUGAAGGCCACCACCAUCGUCCCCGUGCCGAAGAAAUCCUCAGUGUCCUGCCUAAAUGACUACCGUCCUGAGGCACUUACAUCCAUCAUCAUGAAGUGUUUCGAGAGGCUUGUCAUGAGGCAUAUCAAGACCCUGCUGCCCCCCCUUACUGGACCCCCUGCAGUUCGUGUACCAUCCCAACCGUUCAACAAACGACGCCAUUGCCACCACCCUCCACCUGGCUCAAACCCACCUGGACAAAAAAGACACAUACGUUCGACUGCUGUUCACAGGCUUCAGUUCAGCAUUCAACACAGUCAUCCCUCAGAAACUGGUUGGAAAGCUGAGCCUACUGGGCCUGAACACCUCCCUCUGCAACUGGAUCCUAGACUUGCUGACUGGGAGACCUCAGUCAGUCCGGAUCGGGAGCAGCAUCUCCAACACCAUCACACUGAGCACGGGGGACCCAGGGCUGUGUGCUCAGUCCACUGCUGUUCACUCUGCUGACCCACGACUGUGCUGCAACACACAGCUCGAACCUCAUCAUCAAGUUCACUGAUGACACAACCGUGGUGGGUCUCAUCAGCAAGAACGUUGAGUCAGCUUACAGAGAGGAGGUGCAGUGGCUAACAGACUGGUGCAGAGCCAACAACCUGUCUCUGAAUGUGAACAAAACAAAAGAGAUGGUUGUUAACUUCAGGAGGGAACGGAGCGACCACUCCCGGCUGAACAUCGAUGGCUCCUCAGUAGAGAUCGUAAAGAGCACCAAAUUUCUUGGGGUUCACCUGGCAGAGGAUCUUACCUGGUCCCUCAAUACCACUCCAUAGCAAAGAAAGCCCAGUAGCAUCUCUACUUUCUGUGAAGGCUGAGGAAAGUCCAUCUCCCUCCCCCCAUCCUCAUCACAUUCUACAGGGGUUGUAUUGAGAGCAUCCCAAGCAGCUGCAUCACUGCCUGGUUCGGAAAUUGCACCACCUCAGGUCGCAAAACCCUGCAGCAGAUAGUGAGGUCAGCUGAGGAGAUUGUUGGCAUCUCUCUUCCCGCCAUUACAGACAUUUACACUACAUGCUGCAGCCACAAAGCAAACUGCAUUAUGAAGGACCCUAUGCACCCCUCACACAAACUCUUCUCCCUCCUAUCACCUGGGAAAAGGCACUGAAGCAUUCGGGCUCUCACGACCAGACUAUGUAACAGUUUCUUCCCCCAAGCCAUCAGACUCCUCAACACCCAGAGACUGGACUGACCCAACUUACUGCACUCUACUGUGCCUAUUGUCUUGUUUAUUAUUUAUUGUAAUGCCUACACUGUUUCGUGCACUUUAUGCAGUCCUGGGUCAGUCUGUAGUCUAGUGUAGCUUUUUUUUCUGUGUUGUUUUUAUGUAGUUCAGUGUAGUUUUUGUACUGUUUCAAGUUGCACCAUGGUCCUGAAAAAUGUUGUCUCAUUUUACUGUGUACUGUACCAGCAGUUAUGGUCAAAAUGACAAUAAAAAGUGACUCGACUUGA
Molecule: long non-coding RNA, 20537 nt
Organism: Hypanus sabinus (Atlantic stingray)
Lineage: Eukaryota; Metazoa; Chordata; Chondrichthyes; Myliobatiformes; Dasyatidae
Exons: 6
Source: RefSeq, a predicted model, not a curated record